AUUGAACGCUGGCGGCAUGCCUUACACAUGCAAGUCGAACGGCAGCACGGGUGCUUGCACCUGGUGGCGAGUGGCGAACGGGUGAGUAAUACAUCGGAACGUACCUUAUCGUGGGGGAUAACGCAGCGAAAGCUGUGCUAAUACCGCAUACGCCCUGAGGGGGAAAGCGGGGGAUCGCAAGACCUCGCGCGAUUAGAGCGGCCGAUGCCUGAUUAGAUAGUUGGUGGGGUAAAAGCCCACCAAGGCGACGAUCAGUAGCUGGUCUGAGAGGCAGAUCGGCAACACUGGGACUGAGACACGCGCCAGACUCCUACGGGAGGCAGCAGUGGGGAAUUUUGGACAAUGGGGGCAACCCUGAUCCAGCAAUGCCGCGUGAGUGAAGAAGGCCUUCGGGUUGUAAAGCUCUUUUGUCAGGGAAGAAACACCGGCUCUAACACAGUCCGGGAAUGACGGUACCUGAAGAAUAAGCACCGGCUAACUACGUGCCAGCCGCCGCGGUAA
This 501-nucleotide ribosomal RNA is filed under the name uncultured bacterium. RNAcentral's name for it is "partial 16S ribosomal RNA". It matches the Rfam family "Bacterial small subunit ribosomal RNA", at positions 29 to 523 of the family's 1533-position model. The record is from RNAcentral.